GUCCUAUUGUAUUAUUUAAUAGGUCUGGCCUGCCCAGUGAUAAUUUCAACGGCCGCGGUAUAUUGACCGUGCAAAGGUAGCAUAAUCAUUAGUCUUUUAAUAGGAGGCUGGAAUGAAAGGUUUAACGAGAAAUUGACUGUCUCAAUUGCAAUCUUGAAUUUAUCUUUUGAGUCAAAAGACUUAAAUUUAAUUGGUGGACGAGAAGACCCUAUAGAGCUUUACAAUUAUUUUUUUUAUAUUUAUUUAGACUGAAAUUAUUUAUUUAUAUUAAAAAAAUUGUUUUGUUGGGGUGACAAUAAAUAUAUAUUUAACUUUUAUCAUAACAUUAACAUUAAUUUAUGAUUUUUGGAUCCAAAAAUUUUGAUCAUUAGACUAAGUUACC
This 382-nucleotide ribosomal RNA is filed under the name Ischnura evansi. RNAcentral describes it as "partial large subunit ribosomal RNA". The stretch from base 1 to 184 matches the Rfam family "Archaeal large subunit ribosomal RNA", at positions 1908 to 2143 of the family's 2987-position model. The record is from RNAcentral. Lineage: Eukaryota; Metazoa; Arthropoda; Insecta; Odonata; Coenagrionidae.